RNAcentral lists this long non-coding RNA (811 nucleotides) under Medicago truncatula (barrel medic). RNAcentral's name for it is "long non-coding RNA (MTRU_LNC001673)". Lineage: Eukaryota; Viridiplantae; Streptophyta; Magnoliopsida; Fabales; Fabaceae. The record is from RNAcentral.
UAAAUGUUUGAGAUAUGGGAUGAUGUUUCUUUUGCCUUGUAGGUUGUGGAAGUUGGAUAUUUGAAGGUGUGUUAGAUGUAAGAUGAUGUGUAGGUUUCCUUGUAGAGUGGGGUUGUUGGGUAUUUGUAGGUAUUUGAGAAGUGGGAGCAUGGACAGUAGACAUUUGUGGACUUGAAGUAGAGAGGAAAGGUGGGAAGUUUGUAUGUGUUUGAGAUAUGGGAUGAUGUGUAGGUUGCUUUGUAUAUAUGGAUUGUUGGAUAUUUGAAGGUGUUUUAGAUGUAAGAUGAUGUGUAGGUUUCAUUGUAGAGUGGGGUUGUUGGAUAUUUGUAGGUAUUUGAGAAGUGGGAGCAUGGACAGUAGACAUUUGUGGACUUGAAGUAGAGAGGAAAGGUGGGAAGUUAGUAUGUGUUUGAGAUAUGGGAUGAUGUGUAGGUUGCUUUGUAGAUAGGGAUUGUUGGGUGUCUGCAGGCCUAGGUGCUUGUAAUCUAGAAGAAUGUGACAAAGUAGUUUUAUGCUUACCUCCCUUAUUUCCCUUAACUUUGUUGAUGCUUAUACCAGCACCUCUUCCAUUGCUCCUUGUAAUAUCAUUGUCUUCCAUCUAUCUAUAUACAUAUAAAACUAGGUAAUUAACUACUGUACAUAAAAAAAAAGAAGUUAAAAGGCGCACAAAAUUAGACAUGGGCAUAAACAAGUUAAAAGGCACACAAAAUUAAAACAUAAGCACAAUUAGCAUUUUCCAUUAAUAUGCAUAAGAAUCACACAUAAGGAUUUGUUGAAAAAAUUUAACAUAACAAUAGAAAAAAGACUAGUC